CACUUUUAAAAAAAAUUUCUCUAUAUAUUCCCUGUGUUUUUAUUAUUACCUAUUCGGGCUAUUGUUUUCGGUGCAAAGCUGAAUUACAAAAAUCGGUGCAUGAGCUGAAUUACAAAGCAUCGAAUUUUUGGUCAGACCUCUUCUGACAUUUUCUGCUGUGUUACCUUUUUUUGUUCCUUCUGUUCUUUAACUAGUAAUAAUAACUUUUCAACCAUACCUGUCAGUUGAAAAGAAAUAUUUGAAUAAAAAAUAAUUUCAUUAUAUUUUUUAUUAUAUAAUAUAUUAUUACUAGUGAAAUACCCGCGCGAUACUGCAGAUAUAAAAAUAUUUUUAUAAUAAAUUUUAUUUUUUUAUAAGUCUAAUUAUUAAUUAAAUAAAAGUUAUAUAAAAAUAGUUUAAUAGUUAAAUCUAUUUAAAUAAAAGAUUAAAAUUGGUAUAUGCGCAAGUAAAUUUAUACAUCAAUUUAUUUUAUAAGGAUUUAUAUGAGAAGGAUUCGAAAUAAAUCUAUCAAAAUAAUUUUUAAAAAUCAAUAAAUAGAAGAAAAAUAAAUUUGUAGAAGAAACUGUUUAAUAAAAUUAAUUAUAUAUAUACACAUAUACACUACAUUUCUAAAAUUUUUCUCUUGAAAUUUAAAUUAUGUAUUUUUUUUAUCCAACGAUAUUUCACAUGAUUUAAAUUGCAUCUAUUAGGUUUUAUUAUGCAAUUUAUUACGCGUAUUAUUACUAAAAUUAAUUAAUUAAUUUCAUAGCGUUUAGAGAUUUAAAUUGAAGUUAAAAAAUUGGAAAUAAAUAUUAUAAGUUAAAAUUAAAAUUUAAAAUUUAAAGUAUAAAAUUUGGAAUUUAAAAAUUUAAAAUAUGAAAGUAUCAUAAUUUUAAAUUUUGAUAUCAAAAUUUAAAAUUUUAUAUUAUAUUUGUCACGCCCCGGAUGUCUCGUUCCCCGGGCACGCCGACAAAUCCGCCGUAUACAAAAGAAUUUCCCCUAUAUACGAAGCGACAUUAGUACCUGUAAAUCAAACACUACUACGAACAGUAGUAGAGAGCUGCUAGAGAAAAUAGAAGUUAAACAAACUGAGUUUCACAUACAUAGUCCAAAUCCAAAAUACAGAGCUACUCGCACUACCGAGUUAAGUCAACUAUGUACAUAAACUCGAAACAAAACAUCUACC
RNAcentral lists this long non-coding RNA (1165 nucleotides) under Ananas comosus (pineapple). RNAcentral's name for it is "long non-coding RNA (ACOM_LNC024509)". The record is from RNAcentral. Lineage: Eukaryota; Viridiplantae; Streptophyta; Magnoliopsida; Poales; Bromeliaceae.